UCAAAGUAUUCUUAUGAAAAUCUAGAUUUCAAUAAAAAAAUAACGUGAGAACAACGAAAAUUAAAGAUGACUGUAAUAGACUAUGAAUCAUUAAUUUUAUAAAAGAAAACUUAACAAAAUUUGUUAAAAUAAUAUAUAUUAUAAAAUAUAUUAUUAUUUUUUAAAAAACAGUGAAUUGAAACAUCUAAUUAGCUGUAAUAAAAAUCAAAAGAGAUUUUGACAGUAGUGGCGAACGAAAAUGAAAUAAAUAAAUAAAUUAUAAUUUUUCUAAAAAAAGAAGUUUACUGAAAGAAAUAUCAGAGAAGGUGUAAGUCCUGUAUUUUUUUAUGAAAAAAUAAAUACCAUAUAUAUAUUUAUAAAAAUAAAGCAAAACAUGUGUAAUUUUGUUAGAAAAUAGAAGAACCAUCUUCUAAAUUUAAAAAUUUUUUGAAAAUCGAUAGUGAAAAAGUACCGUAAGGGAAUGAUGAAAGAGGCCCCCAAUGUGGAGUAUCAAAGAGAUUUAAAAAUGAUAUACUAAAAAUCAAUUGAAGCUUUAAUAAAAGUUACAAUGUACCUUUUGCAUAAUGGAUUAGUAACUUAAUUACUUUAGCAAGUUUAAGUGUAAAAUAAAAUAUUUUUUAAAACGGAGACGUAGAAAAAUCAAUUUUUAAAAUAAAAUAUAAAGUUAAAAUAUUUAAACCCGAAACCAGGUGAUCUAAUCAUGAACAGAUUGAAAUACGUUUAAUUAUAAGCUUAGAAAGAUUUAACCCGUAUAUGUGGAAAUAUAUUGGGAUGAUUUGUGAUUAGGGGUGAAAGGCCAAUCAAACUUGGAUAUAGCUGGUUUUUCGCGAAAUCUAUUUAAGUAGAGCUUUUUAAUAUUUAUUUUUGGGGUAGAGCACUUUUUGAGUAAGGGGGGCUUUUUGCUUUACUAAAUUUAAGAAAACUCCGAAUACAAAAAUAUAAAAAUUAAAAAAGACAGACAUUGGGUGCGAAGAUCCAUUGUCGAAAGGGAAACAGCCCUCAUUGAAAAUUAAGGUUUCUAAUUUAUCUUAAGUGAGUAAGAAUAUAAAAAAAUUUAGACAGUUAAAAGGUAAGCUUGGAGGCAGCUAUCCUUUAAAGAAAGCGUAAUAGCUCAUUAACCUAGUUUUAUUAAUUCUAAAAUGUAGAGAAACUAAUAUUUAAAACCGAAAUUUCAAAAUUUAUAAAAUAAAUAAAUUGGUAGCGAAAUAUUUUGUAUAUUGAUCAAAUAAUAUAUUAUAAAAUAUAUGAAAAAAUCAAAAGCAAAAAUGCUAAUAUGAGUAACGUUAAACAAUGAGUAUACAACAUUGUCGCCAAAAGUUCUAGGUUUUUCAGGUAAAGAUAUACUUCCUGCAAUUUAGACAGUUUCUAAGAAAAAAACGAAAGUUUUAUUUAAUGAAAUUUAAAAUUCUUUUUAAGUUAAAAAAUGUAAAAAUUUUAUUAAAGUAUUAAAUAAAUUCAAUAUUUAAUUUUUUAUAAAUUUUUCGGGAAAAAUUUUUUUAUUUAAAUUUUAAAAAACUGUACUUAAAUCGACACAGAUGAACUGGUAGAAUAUACUAAGGCGCUUGAGAGAAUUGUGUUGAAGGAACUCGGCAAAUUGGCUCUGUAACUUCGGAAAAAGGGGUGUCUAAAUUAUUAUAAAAAAAUAAUAUUAGAUAACAUUGAAUAAGGGGGGGCGACUGUUUAAUAAAAACACAGGACUCUGCAAAAUUGUAAAAUGAUGUAUAGGGUCUGACACCUGCCCAGUGCUGUAAGGUGAAAAGGACGUGUAAUUGCACGAAAUAUAAGCCCCAGUAAACGGCGGCCGUAACUCUGACGGUCCUAAGGUAGCGAAAUUCCUUGUCGGGUAAGUUCCGACCUGCAUGAAUGGUGUAACGACUUCUCCGCUGUCUCCAACACAAGCUCAGUGAAAUUGAAUUAUUUGUGAAGAUGCAAAUUUUUUAUGGCUAGACGAAAAGACCCCGUGCACCUUUACUACACUUUUACAUUGUAAAAAGGAACAAUACGUACAGAUAUAGGUGGGAGCUUACAAUUUUAGAUUAUUAUAUAAUUUAAUUUAAGCAUCAAUGAAAUACCACUCUUAUUUUUUUUUUUUACUAACUCUAUUAUUAUAAAGAACAGUGUAAGAUUGGUAGUUUGACUGGGGCGGUCUCCUCCUAAAAAGUAACGGGGGAGUACAUAAGGUAAAUUCAAAUUUGAUGUUAUUAAAAAUUGUAGAGCAUAAUGGUAUAAAUUUGCUUAACUAUAAGACUUACAAGUCGAAUAGAAACUUAAAAGUUUGUCAUAGUGAUCCGAUGAUUUUAUAUGGAAAAGUCAUCGCUCAACGGAUAAAAGGUACGCCGGGGAUAACAGGCUAAUGAUUCUUGAGAGUCCGAAUUGACGGAAUCGUUUGGCACCUCGAUGUCGGCUCAUCAUUUCCUGGAAUUGAAACCGAUUCCAAGGGUUCGGCUGUUCGCCGAUUAAAAUGGUACGCGAGCUGGGUUUAGAACGUCGUGAGACAGUUUGGAUUCUAUCUACCAUAAACAAUGAAAAUUAAAAAAAGCUGACCUUAGUACGAGAGGACCGGGAAAGAUUAAUCUCUAGUGAAUUGGUUGUUUUUUAAAAAGCAUAAUCAAUAAGCUAUAUUAAAUCGAAAGAAUUGCUGAAGGCAUAUAAGCAAGAAAUUGUUUUUAAGAUAAAUUUUCAUUCAAAUGUAUAAGACUAAUACGAUAUAGGUUUAAUAUAUAUAUAUAUUAAUAUAUAAAGUUUUUAAACACUAAUUUAUAGAAUUUGAAAAAUAAAUAUA
This 2782-nucleotide ribosomal RNA is filed under the name Cafileria marina. RNAcentral's name for it is "large subunit ribosomal RNA". It matches the Rfam family "Bacterial large subunit ribosomal RNA". The record is from RNAcentral. Lineage: Eukaryota; Bigyra; Bicosoecida.